CACAUUUAAAGACAUAAGUUCAUCCACAAAACGUCCUGCUGCAUUCAGGGACAUCAGUUCAUCCCACGUCCACACCACCUUCUUGCUGCGUUCAAGGACAGAAGUU
This is a long non-coding RNA of Melanotaenia boesemani (Boeseman's rainbowfish), 106 nucleotides long. RefSeq lists it as uncharacterized. Lineage: Eukaryota; Metazoa; Chordata; Actinopteri; Atheriniformes; Melanotaeniidae. The record is from RefSeq and is a predicted model, not a curated record. The transcript is spliced from 3 exons.